GAGUCGAGGGGGGAGGGAAAGCGACAAGUGUAGCAUUUCUUGCGGGUGCAAGUGAAAGUGCCCGAGGAGGGGGUAGUAUGGGUGGGAAGAGAAGAAUUGUCCAGGGAGUUAAGGAGGGAGAGGUC
Molecule: long non-coding RNA, 125 nt
Organism: Amblyraja radiata (thorny skate)
Lineage: Eukaryota; Metazoa; Chordata; Chondrichthyes; Rajiformes; Rajidae
Exons: 3
Source: RefSeq, a predicted model, not a curated record